UUGUAGUUGGUUAUGGAAUAUUGUGGAGCAGGUUCUGUAACUGAUUUAGUAAAAUCCACCAAGGGUCAAUGUUUAAAAGAAGAAUGGAUAGCUUAUAUAUGUAGAGAAAUUCUCAGGGGUUUGAGUCAUCUUCAUGGGAAUAAAAUCAUUCACAGAGAUAUUAAAGGACAGAAUGUAUUACUAACUGAUAAUGCUGAAGUAAAACUAGGUAAGAAUUUU
Molecule: long non-coding RNA, 219 nt
Organism: Centruroides sculpturatus (bark scorpion)
Lineage: Eukaryota; Metazoa; Arthropoda; Arachnida; Scorpiones; Buthidae
Exons: 3
Source: RefSeq, a predicted model, not a curated record